This 1383-nucleotide ribosomal RNA is filed under the name metagenome. RNAcentral describes it as "SSU rRNA". It matches the Rfam family "Eukaryotic small subunit ribosomal RNA", at positions 404 to 1801 of the family's 1831-position model. The record is from RNAcentral.
UGGCUACCACAUCCAAGGAUGGCAGCAGGCGCGCAAAUUACCCACUCUCAGUACGAGGAGGUAGUGACGAAAAAUAACAAUGCGGGACUCAUCAGAGGCCUCGCAAUUGGAAUGAGCGCACUUUAAAUCGUUCGACGAGGAUCUAUUGGAGGGCAAGUCUGGUGCCAGCAGCCGCGGUAAUUCCAGCUCCAAUAGCGUAUAUUAAAGUUGUUGCAGUUAAAAAGCUCGUAGUUGGAUCUGGGGUUCGGGUCGGCGGUUUGCCGCUUCGGCGGCUACUGCCGUGCUCGACUCUUACUAGCCGGUGCGUCUUGCGGUGCUCUUCAUCGAGUGCCGUAGGAGCCUGGCAUGUUUACUUUGAAAAAAUUAGAGUGCUCAAAGCAGGCGAUUCCGCCUGAAUAGUGUUGCAUGGAAUAAUGGAAUAGGACCUCGGUUCUAUUUUGUUGGUUUUCGGAACUUGAGGUAAUGAUUAAGAGGGACGGUCGGGGGCAUUCGUAUUUCGGUGUUAGAGGUGAAAUUCUUGGAUCGCUGAAAGACGGACAAAUGCGAAAGCAUCUGCCAAGAACGUCUCCAUUAAUCAAGAACGAAAGUCAGAGGUUCGAAGACGAUCAGACACCGUCCUAGUUCUGACCAUAAACGAUGCCAACUAGCGAUCCGCAGUGGUUGCUAUAAACGGACUCUGCGAGCAGCUUCCGGGAAACCAAAGUGUUUGGGUUCCGGGGGAAGUAUGGUUGCAAAGCUGAAACUUAAAGGAAUUGACGGAAGGGCACCACCAGGAGUGGAGCCUGCGGCUUAAUUUGACACAACACGGGGAAACUCACCCGGUCCGGACACUGUAAGGAUUGACAGAUCGAGAGCUCUUUCUUGAUUCGGUGGAUGGUGGUGCAUGGCCGUUCUUAGUUGGUGGAGUGAUUUGUCUGGUUAAUUCCGAUAACGAACGAGACUCUAGCCUGCUAACUAGUUGCGCCGUGUUCAUACGCGGCUGUAGACUUCUUAGAGGGACAGGUGGCGUUUAGCCACACGAAAUUGAGCAAUAACAGGUCUGUGAUGCCCUUAGAUGUCCGGGGCCGCACGCGCGCUACACUGAAGGAGUCAGCGUGUGCUAUCCGGGCUCGGAAGAGUUCGGUAACCCGUUGAAACUCCUUCGUGCUUGGGAUUGUGGCUUGUAAUUAUCGCGCAUGAACGAGGAAUUCCCAGUAAGUGCAAGUCAUCAGCUUGCGCUGACUACGUCCCUGCCCUUUGUACACACCGCCCGUCGCUACUACCGAUUGAAUGGUUUAGCAAGGUACUCGGAUUGGUCUCGAUCUUGUACGAAAGUGCGGGAUCUGUGGCCGAGAAGAAGGCCAAACUUGAUCAUUUAGAGGGAGUAAAAGUCGUAACAAGGUU